UACGUAGGGUCCAAGCGUUAUCCGGAAUCACUGGGCGUAAAGCGUACGUAGGCGGUUUUUCAAGUUGGGUGUGAAAUCCUAUGGCUCAACCAUAUGGACUGUGCCCAAAACUGAAUAACUAGAGCAUAGUAGAGGCAAGUGGAACUUGCGGUGUAGGAGUGACAUCCGUAGAUAUCGCAAAGAACACCAAUGGCGAAGGCAGCUUGCUGGGCUAUUGCUGACGCUCAGGUACGAAAGCGUGGGGAGCGAACGGG
RNAcentral lists this ribosomal RNA (254 nucleotides) under uncultured bacterium. RNAcentral describes it as "partial 16S ribosomal RNA". It matches the Rfam family "Bacterial small subunit ribosomal RNA", at positions 524 to 776 of the family's 1533-position model. The record is from RNAcentral.